AAUUUUAUUAGUAUAAUUAAUUACGUUUAGUUUCCACCUAAAAAAUCUUUUAGAUAAAAU
Molecule: transfer RNA, 60 nt
Filed under: Paracarsidara gigantea
Lineage: Eukaryota; Metazoa; Arthropoda; Insecta; Hemiptera; Carsidaridae
Description: tRNA-Gly
Source: RNAcentral